Molecule: long non-coding RNA, 1682 nt
Filed under: Centruroides sculpturatus (bark scorpion)
Lineage: Eukaryota; Metazoa; Arthropoda; Arachnida; Scorpiones; Buthidae
Description: uncharacterized LOC111625643
Source: RNAcentral
UGCUUUUCCGAUCUAUUUUAUUUUCGUUUCGUUUAAUCCAACUUUCGGAGACGACAUCGGCGUUUAAAUCUGCCGUCGCUUGUGAAUUAGUACUUUUAAACGAACGACCGAAGCGCCGAAAACGGAUUAAGUAUUUGCUCAUUGGUUUAUUCUCGUAAUUAAUUCAUUUAUAUUUUAUAAACACGGUUAAAGAAUAAGGAUUAUUUAUAGAAAUUCAAUUAAAAAUUACUUAAUACUAACUUUAAAUACGAAUUCCAUCGUAAUUUUAACUAAAAUAUACUCUGGUAACAUUGAUGGACGGAGACCGUAUUCUGAAGCAUGGGAUGUUCGUUCGACGGGUCAAAAAAUUCGCCCUUUGACCUCCGACUUCUCCAUGCAAUUUAUGUAUUAGUUACAACGCUUUUCAAUGGCUUAUUUUGCCAGAAUUAAAUUGUCUGCAAACACAUCUAAUACUAAUACACUUAACAGUUAUCUAUACAGGCUGGACACAAAGAAUUCUUUUCCUUAGGCUCUUUGUCUCUUUUCACAAGGUGGUCUGAGUGCAGUCGAUCUUCCACACUUACGUAACAUUUAAGUGGCACAAUGCUUUGUGCCACUUAAACGUUCGUGUCCCGAAUGGCGAGUUGGGCUGUGGGCACGUUUCACUUCUUCCUACGUUUGUCUUGUGUUUCGGUCGACUCGUUCGCAAUUUCUUUGCACGAAACUCUUUUAAAUGCCGUCGUUGCGUUUAUGUGACGUACACGUUAGGGUAAAUUGCUCUAGAACGAAACACUUGUUACGACUCGGGCUCGAAUGCCUUUUCCUCAUGGCUACGUGCGGCGUGUCUUUAAUUUACUGUCGUACAAGUACAAAUUACACGUAAGAGAGUUUCUUCGUUCCGGGUCGGUCGUCUCUACUGCAAAUACAGUUGGAACGUUCUAGCAAUUUCCGGUUGCUAUCCGAAUUCCGAUUCGUCGUGAGUAUAAUCUUGAACUUUUUCUGCGUUAAUCGGCCCCAGAAGACAUCUCGGCACAUCGUUCGAUGGUCCGAUUCGAAUCUUUUAGAUUUAAAAAGGCAGCUGCGGUGAGCAUUUUGCUUUUCUCGCAAGAAUUUAGACAUUAAUUUAAGCUUUUGUUUUAAUCGACUAAUUGCAAAUUUUCUUUUUUUCAGAAUGAAGAUGUUGGAGUGGUUUCGCCGGAGGUUCCGACGGAAGAAUGCGGUGGCGCCGGAGGGAGGGGGUUCCUCGGACGGCUCCGAUGAGACGUUCGAGGACCGUGGGCUCGACUGGGUCUCUGUCGAAUCGAUUAGUUCGGUGUCGUUGGAGACCGUCAAGUGGGAGGCAGAGCGUGGUGACGACCUUCCCCCAGUGCGUGUGGCGUGGGACUCUCCCGGAGGCGGGAGAGUUCUGAGUCCAUUCCACUUGGCCAAGGUCGUCAGGGAUCAGCCGGCCCUAGGCCUUGUUAAGGAAGGCAUAGGGAGUGACGAGUCCUCUUGGACUUCGUCUGUUUUCGCGUGGUCUGCCUCUCAGUCCGCGCUCGCGAGCUCGUCGCCAUCGUCUUUCCGAAGUCGGAACGGGGAAGCAUUGGAGGAGAGCGCCGCCAAAGUCGAGGAACCGCGGUUUUGUUGCUGCGGGUGGCUGCGGUUCCCUCGGCCUAGGCGGUGAUCCUCUUCGAUUUUCCCCAACUUGUCCUUUUCACCCGGAU